This 445-nucleotide ribosomal RNA is filed under the name Peptoniphilus sp. oral taxon 836. RNAcentral describes it as "bacterial SSU rRNA". It matches the Rfam family "Bacterial small subunit ribosomal RNA", at positions 28 to 452 of the family's 1533-position model. The record is from RNAcentral. Lineage: Bacteria; Bacillati; Bacillota; Tissierellia; Tissierellales; Peptoniphilaceae.
GACGAACGCUGGCGGCGCGCUUAACACAUGCAAGUCGAGCGAUGAAAUCUUAACAGAACCCUUCGGGGCGAAGAUAAGACGGAUUAGCGGCGGACGCGUGAGUAACACGUGAGUAACCUGCCUUUUACACAGGGAUAGCCUCGGGAAACCGGGAUUAAAACCUGAUGAAACUAUCAAAUCACAUGAUUAAGAAAGUUAAAACUCCGGUGGUAAAAGAUGGACUCGCGUCCCAUUAGCUAGUUGGUGAAGGUAACGGCCCACCAAGGCAACGAUGGGUAGCCGGCCUGAGAGGGUGAACGGCCACAUUGGAACUGAGAAACGGUCCAAACUCCUACGGGAGGCAGCAGUGGGGAAUAUUGCACAAUGGGGGAAACCCUGAUGCAGCGACGCCGCGUGAGCGAAGAAGGCCUUCGGGUCGUAAAGCUCUUUUAUAUGGGAAGAUAAU